GUCAAUGCAAAACUCAGAGAUCUUCCACCUCUACUUAUGUGACUGCAGAGAGGAGGACAGAGAACAGUGGACACACAGUUCAACAUGAUGGACUACAGGACAGGACUGCUGCUUCUAACUUUCUGCUGGGCAGGUGUUGAUGGUCAGACUCUGACAGAAUCUGAACCAGCAGUUAAAAGGCCUGGAGAAUCUCACAGAUUAACAUGUACAACAUCUGGAUUCACAUUUAGUGACUACUAUAUGGCCUGGAUCAGACAGGCUCCUGGAAAAGGACUGGAGUGGAUCUCUGCUAUCAGUAGUGGUGGUGGCACCACUUACUACUCUCAGUCAGUUCAGGGCCGGUUUACCAUCUCCAGAGACAACAGCAGACAGCAGCUGUAUCUGCAGAUGAGCAGUCUGAAGACUGAAGAUUCUGCUGUUUAUUAUUGUGCUCGAGACUCACAGUGACUGGAGCUGGUUGAGCAGCUGCACAAAAUCCUGCAGUAAACAUCUUUUGGGCUGGGAGAGCCCAAGCAUGAA
This is a non-coding RNA of Cottoperca gobio, 519 nucleotides long. NCBI's taxonomy places the organism in Eukaryota, Metazoa, Chordata, Actinopteri, Perciformes, Bovichtidae. The record is from the annotation of a RefSeq genome assembly.